This 942-nucleotide ribosomal RNA is filed under the name Triticum aestivum (bread wheat). RNAcentral's name for it is "partial small subunit ribosomal RNA". The record is from RNAcentral. Lineage: Eukaryota; Viridiplantae; Streptophyta; Magnoliopsida; Poales; Poaceae.
AUGGGGCGUCGCCUCCUCCUCCAGUGGCGGGGAUUGGCGCUAGUGUGCAAGCGAAAGCGACGACGCACACGCAGCAGAGAUCCCAGCUUGGCCAACUAUGGAGAUAUAAUCUUGGUACUGUUUGAGACGCCCUCUGGCUUUGCAAUUUUCUGUUUCAAGGAGGGCUACCUCAAAGAACCGAAUACCUGGCAAAUCUUUGGCGAGCAUUUUAGGACAAAAGGGAUCGUAUGGCUGAAAGAGUUUCAAAUUUUCAAGGACAAGUCCAGUGCCAUUGAUAAUUGUACUGGUGUUAGUAGGGAGCUUACUGAGAUGAUCUCGCGCUGUCACCACCCUUGCCAGAAAUUGGCCGUUGGAAAACCUGAAUACAAAACAAUCAUCGAAACAAGCUUGCCGGGUGUACCUUGCCUCUUCGACGAAACUGUGAUGGAGGUGAUGUGGGGCCUAAAACAUCUCAUGCAUAGUUUAGUUCCCCAAGAAAAACUGAAGCUCACAAAGGAGGACCGCUUGCCAAUGAGCCAAGGACUAAAAAUGUUCCUGUAUCAUUAUGGCUUUGAUGUCAAACCGGAGUUGGUUAAUGAGCAGGUUGUUAUUGCGGCAUGCCUCUUGCUUGAUGCUGGAUUGCUCGUGGAGAGCCACUCAGAACAACUGCGCUGGGCUGCUGGCAAGCUGAAGGAAGUGUCUGGCAUUAACCCGGAAGGCUGGUCCGCGAUGAAGACCGCGACGGCUCUGAGAAUCAUGUUUGACCCUGCAGAAACAACAAACGAGGAAAUGGAGAUUUUUACUGAAGAAGAGGUAUCAACGCUGGAGAUGACUUGCCAUAAAUAUGAAGACAUUAUUUAUAAGGACUUUGGCCUCAAGAUCCACAGUGAACUUGUGGAGAUGCGUGAAGUUAAGAAGGAUGCCCUGGGAGCACUGGGCUUCUUGCUUGGAUCAAGCGUGUGA